Dermacentor albipictus is the source of this 1625-nucleotide long non-coding RNA. RefSeq lists it as uncharacterized. The record is from RefSeq and is a predicted model, not a curated record. Lineage: Eukaryota; Metazoa; Arthropoda; Arachnida; Ixodida; Ixodidae.
GGCACGAGCCCUCGAGGCGCGUGACCCGAGGUGUGAUCGGAGGAGAAGCGGCGCCAAGGUGGCAUUAUCGACGUGGCUCUAGGCCAGGAAGGUUGCAGCACCAGCUUCGUUCUGGCGACGGGACCCAUGGAGGUUCGGGCGGGCCCGCGGCGCUGGCGACCCAGGGUGUAGCCGUCGACCUCGGCGACGUUCGAGCGAGGCUCCCUAGACCUGCUGCAGCCUCCCACGGCCCUGCCGGGACACUCCAGGAACUGGAUCCCCCUUCUUCGGCAGACCAGCAUGGACGAUAGUCCCCGGAGCUUCUCGUCGGCACACGGAGAGGUAGCGGCGGAGCCCGGUGUUAGGCAAAGCCAGGCAGGCCUAUGUGACACGUCACCAACAUAGUUCGGGGCGCCGGCAUCCGAGACGGAGGAGCUGGCCGGCCGAUGCCAAGGAAGUCAAACUUACGGAGUCGGCGGGAGCACCGAUGUCUCUACACGAACCCUUCCCGUCAUGGCUGUGGCAUCCACUGUGGCCGAAGACAUCUCGGGCGUACCGAGGGUCGUUGUGACAAGUGCGACUGCGACGAGUUCCGGCUCACUGUGGAGCUUAUGAGCCAUGAACGAAUGCCGCUUGGGUGGUGCAUAUUAUGAGGACAUUCACCAGUCGCGCAUGGAUCAUUUACAGAGGCACAAGAGCUUGGCAACAGGUCUCCACGAGGCCCAUACAUCUUGAAAGAGAAUGGCAACUUAAAAAUUGCCUGCAAGGAAAACAUUCUGGCUUUACCACCUUCAUCAUCACCUGAAAAGCAGUCAGCCUCCUGUUGACUGUAUAUUUUAUUUUAGGCUUGUCAUACCCAUACGCUUUUUGGACAGUUUUUGGGACUUGUGCAGACAGUUGUUGUGAAGGGUGAGCCAUUUGGCAGUGGCUUGAUGUCGUUUAAGGUAGUCUCUGUUGAAUAACAUGAAGCAGUCAGACCUAAUAUUCACGUGCUAAAUGUUUGGUAGGUAGAAGCGACAUGUCAGCUGCAAAACUGUGAAGUUGUGCCUUCUUUUAUGAUUUUUUAUCACCAGGGCAAAGCGCCGGCUGUAUGUUUCAAGGCUGGCUUGCAUUUUUCAAGGCUAAGUUGUUCAGUUAUUUAAAAUUUUCUCACUUGUUUUCCAGAAUGUCUUACCAUUGUAUUUCGCUGUUGCCUUGUUGAAUCUUUAAAAUGUGUAACAUGCUUCCAACUACUUUGUGCAUAAAAUUGUAUAAACAUUUACACUAACUUUUAUGGUAAUAUUUGGGAUGAGUUAUCCCAAACUACAUAAUGCUGGGGCAAGUAAUCUGCCUCAAGUGGAAGGCUUUUUCAGGGUGCUUAUAAAGUGUUUUGGUCACGAUUAGCUUUGUAUUAUAGGUACAUCUGUGAUCAGCCAACUGUAUUGUUUCUAGUGUUCAUAUCUUUUGUGAUAUUUGGCACGUGUUUCUGACAAGUUUUUUGUGAGCAAAUAUUCCAUUGUUUAUUUUGACUUGCAGUGUCUUUUCCCUUUAAUAACUCGUCCACUACAUUCUCCAUUGGUCUUGUGAUAAUCCAACUGUACAAGCCUAUGGUUUUAUGCCUUUUUCGUAUAAUUUUAGAGUACUGAAUUCUUUUGGAACGGGGGUGC